AGAACGAACGCUGGCGGCGUGGAUAAGACAUGCAAGUCGAGCGCUGGUUAAUUGGUAGCAAUACCGAUUGAUCGGAGCGGCGCAAGGGUGCGUAACACGUGGGUAAUUUGCCAUAAAGUUGGGGAUAACUCGCUGAAAGGCGAGCUAAUACCGAAUGUGACCGGAUGGAGGCAUCUCUGACCGGUCAAAGCUGGGGACCGCAAGGCCUGGCGCUUUUUGAUAAACCCGCGGCCUAUCAGCUAGUUGGUGAGGUAACGGCCCACCAAGGCUAAGACGGGUAGCUGGUCUGAGAGGACGACCAGCCACACUGGAACUGAGACACGGUCCAGACACCUACGGGUGGCAGCAGUCGAGAAUUUUUCACAA
This 366-nucleotide ribosomal RNA is filed under the name uncultured bacterium. RNAcentral's name for it is "SSU rRNA". It matches the Rfam family "Bacterial small subunit ribosomal RNA", at positions 26 to 371 of the family's 1533-position model. The record is from RNAcentral.